RNAcentral lists this non-coding RNA (30 nucleotides) under Mus musculus (house mouse). Lineage: Eukaryota; Metazoa; Chordata; Mammalia; Rodentia; Muridae. The record is from RNAcentral.
UNGACUGUAAUGGUGCUUGCUGAAUAUGGU